Molecule: ribosomal RNA, 440 nt
Filed under: uncultured bacterium
Lineage: Bacteria
Description: partial 16S ribosomal RNA
Rfam family: Bacterial small subunit ribosomal RNA
Source: RNAcentral
CCUACGGGAGGCAGCAGUGGGGAAUAUUGCACAAUGGGGGAAACCCUGAUGCAGCGACGCCGCGUGAGUGAAGAAGUAAUUCGUUAUGUAAAGCUCUAUCAGCAGGGAAGAAAAUGACGGUACCUGAGUAAGAAGCCCCGGCUAACUACGUGCCAGCAGCCGCGGUAAUACGUAGGGGGCAAGCGUUAUCCGGAUUUACAGGGUGUAAAGGGAGCGUAGACGGCAGUGCAAGUCUGGAGUGAAAGGCUGGGGCUCAACCCCCGGACUGCUCUGGAAACUGUACGGCUGGAGUGCAGGAGAGGUAAGUGGAAUUCCUAGUGUAGCGGUGAAAUGCGUCGAUAUUAGGAGGAACACCAGUGGCGAAGGCGGCUUACUGGACUGUAACUGACGUUGAGGCUCGAAAGCGUGGGGAGCAAACAGGAUUAGAUACCCUUGUAGUC